Molecule: long non-coding RNA, 2317 nt
Organism: Pipistrellus kuhlii (Kuhl's pipistrelle)
Lineage: Eukaryota; Metazoa; Chordata; Mammalia; Chiroptera; Vespertilionidae
Exons: 3
Source: RefSeq, a predicted model, not a curated record
GCCUCCGGGUCCGCGCCGCCGGCCGCGUCCUCCGCCCCGGAGCCGGCGCAAGUGACGCGCAGUUCUCGCCGGGCACGCGGCCAAGGGAGCGUCUGAAAAGGUCCCAGGUGAGGGUGAGGGACUCUCUCCUGAGACCUUGAAUCUUGAAGGACCGAGGGCACAGUGCCUGGAAGGAGACCAGCGUGUCCCUGGAGUACAGUGUUGGCUGUGGAUUGGCUGCCCAGCCUCGGAAGCCCUCUGUUUUCCACGCCUGGACAUCCAGUCUCCACCGGGAUGCCGUGAGUCCCCGGUAUCCUUCCAAGAAAUGUCCGACUAUAGGCAGUGGCACUCUGCUUCUGGGGCUGGCCAUCACGGACCCGGACGAUGGGUCACGUAAGCAUUCAUGACCACUCUUAUUACGAGAACUCAGGUGUGUGGACGCUGUUUGUAGAAAGAAGCACACAGCAAAAUCCCAAAUCAGACUCUUGGAAACUCAGAAAUGAGGUAGUUCAUCUAGGAGGUGUUGGGGAGUUGGCUGGGAUGGGGUUCCUCUACAGACUCCGUUAGACAUGGCUGCUGCUUUCCAGACCUUUCUGGGCAGGGCUGUGGCUCCAAGUCUCCUUCUCACCCAUCAUCACCUCCCUUCCUGGCCCAGUAGCUCCCGAUGCCCCUUUCUGCUUUCUUUCUUUCUGCCCCCUCCAGAGUCUUUCCUGUCUAGAUCAGCAUAGUCUCUGGCCUUCUCCAGAUCACAAAACAGUUCUGUUAUCAGGAGAAGCAAACAGGAUCCCAAGAAAGUGGGGAUGGGGAGGAGCCGCCAGCACAGCUGCAGGGACCUGCCCCCCACAGCCGCCUGCUUGACCAUGUGAUGCAGACUUUCUGCCUCAGCUCAAACUCCCGUCCACAGGCCUUUGUGAUGAGUAUAAUGGCCUCGUUAUUUCCCUAACAUGCGUCAUUCACUUUAAAUCCAGGAUGCUGCUGACCAACGGCGCCGGGAGGACUCAAACCCGGGUGACUCACCCAGACCAGUGGAUGGCUGAGUUCAUAUUGCUUGGAUCUGUUUGAGCUCCUAAUGGCUCAUAUAAUGGUGAUUAUAGCUAGCUUUGAUUUUGAUAAUUAUAUCAAACGAUAAUUAUAGCUGGCUUUAAUUUAAUACAGUGCUGAAGACACAGGACACCCACCCAUUUGGUCCUCAUCACCACCCCAGGAGGUCGGCGCCGUUCUCUCUCCGUGGAUGGGGAAACUGAGGCCCAGACAGGUUAGGCGAUUUGCUCAGCAUCCUCCAGGGAGUAGCACAGCUGGGUUCUGGCCCCCGAGCCGGGAUGUGUUCACUCAGUGCAAGAUUUGGGGUGUGGGCUCCACGUGUGUCUCGCAUAGAGGACAGACAGGGCAGGCGGCUGCAGUGUUCCACCCUGAAGGACAGUUGAUGUUCGAAGGUUUCCACCCAACCCCCACUUCCCUUAUUUCACCCCAGCGGAGCCCGGUGUUGACAGGUGUCUCCCUCUGGGAAGGGGCCCGGAGCUAAUUCAGGAGGAAGCCCAGUGUCUUCCUCCUCUGCCUUGGCAGCACUACCUGCUCUCAUUAGACCCUCCCCUGCAGUUCGAAUCUUGAGAGACAAAACACUGAAAACAGUUACAGGGCUGAGUGUGCUGGGCCCACGUCUCAGCUCCCCACUUCCUCGCCGGCGGCUCUGAGCAGGUGUGCAGCCUCCUGGAGGCGCAUGGGAUGCUGAGACCUGUACUCGGGUCCUUCUCCAACGCGGCAGGAAGUGCAGGUCUCGGACAGAAGCCUGCAGGGUGAGCAGCCGCCGCCGAGAGCGCAGCACAGGCCCCUGUGGACUGCCCUCCGUUGGGCCAUCCCGGGGUGCCCUGUUCCCACCCUCCCUCAGCCCAGCCCCUGCCUCAGAGUGCCUUCAGGAAGGCCCUUCCAGCUCUGCUCUUGGUGAGCCCCUGCCUGCGGCCUCACCACUCCGUUUCCCAAGAGCCCUUGCUCUUUAUUCCUGUCACGUGAUUUCCUCUGCUUGACCCUGUGCUGCCUGUACGGCCUGCAGGCUGUCCACUGCACGUGGGCUCCUGGUGCCCCAGGAAGUUGGGAGCUGAAACUCAGCCCGUGUUCCGUUCAAGAAGCUGCGAGUCCUGGUGCAGAGGUGGAUGUGUAUUCUUUUCUAACCCACGCCUCUGAGGGCAGCAGUCGCUCUGUUCAACUGUCCUCUCCUCUAUCAGAGAACUCCUCCUCAUCCUCUACUCCCAGCUUUACUAUCACCUCCUCCGGGAAGCCUGCCCGGACUCUUCCCAAAUGCAAUCAUUGCAGCCCGGUCCUACGCUUCUGUGCGCUGCAUCCC